RNAcentral lists this ribosomal RNA (117 nucleotides) under Pseudomonadota bacterium. RNAcentral also lists the same sequence under 1 other name. The record is from RNAcentral. Lineage: Bacteria; Pseudomonadati; Pseudomonadota.
CCCGGUGGCAAUGCCGGAGGGGCCACACCCGUUCCCAUCCCGAACACGGAAGUUAAGCCCUCCAGGGCCGAUGGUACUGCGCUGGCAACGGCGUGGGAGAGUAGGUCGCCGCCGGGA